GGAUGCGCCGCUGGAAGGAAGGAUGCGCCGCACGUCCAGGUAACAGGACAAAACAGAGGACAGUGGGAGGUCAGGCUCCUUGGUAAGUAGCCGGAUUUUUCAUUAGUUGAACUCUGGGUGAUCUUCAGAGUUGUAAAAAGGAGUGUGAUUGCAGCAAAUUAGCAGGGAAGUGUUGACAAGGGUGACUUGGUGUUUUGGACACUGGGGGAGCUGAGGCUGCAAAGUGCAGCUGUAAAACUACGCAGAGAUCUUCCCUGGUUUAAAUGGCAAGGCCUAAUUGAUUUUGAGGGACUUUGGUUUUAGAUGUUUUAACAAGGAGCAGAUUUAAUUGUUCUACAAAAGCUUUGGCAUAGCCAAAUGAAGACAGUUAAAUUUUAUUAAUUAAUUGCACAAUUCUGCAUUGUAUCUGAUUUUGAAACAUUCCAAGAGUCUGGUGAUGUCAAGCCCGGCGAUGAGAUUGUAUCCUCACAUGGAACAUUGAACAUCCCCUGCAUCACAUUUUAGACUCAAGUUCUCAGUGAUGGGAUGUAUCAUUCAGUUCAAAUCAGUGCUUUGUGAACUACUGUGGAGGGAAGAGAAUGAAUUUUUUUGAUAGAUAGCAUGUAUUUUUGAGAGUGCCCUCUGAUCUUUUUCAUUGAUGCACAGUUUAAUUUUUUCUAAUGGUUUUAAUUUCAUGUAGCUUGCCUUUCAAGUGCCAGAAUACUGAACCUCUGAGACCUCUGAGAAAAGUGUAGGAGUGAAUUUCUUGACUGCAAU
RNAcentral lists this long non-coding RNA (756 nucleotides) under Parus major (Great Tit). RNAcentral's name for it is "lncRNA (ENSPMJG00000002743.1)". The record is from RNAcentral. Lineage: Eukaryota; Metazoa; Chordata; Aves; Passeriformes; Paridae.